This 253-nucleotide ribosomal RNA is filed under the name uncultured bacterium. RNAcentral describes it as "partial 16S ribosomal RNA". It matches the Rfam family "Bacterial small subunit ribosomal RNA", at positions 524 to 776 of the family's 1533-position model. The record is from RNAcentral.
UACGUAGGGUCCGAGCGUUGUCCGGAGUUACUGGGCGUAAAGCGCGCGCAGGCGGCUCACCAAGUCUGGCGUGAAAGCCCCCGGCUCAACCGGGGAGGGUCGUCGGAGACUGGUGGGCUUGAGGGCGGUAGGGGCUGGUGGAAUUCCCGGUGUAGUGGUGAAAUGCGUAGAGAUCGGGAGGAACACCUGUGGCGAAGGCGGCCAGCUGGGCCGACACUGACGCUGAGGCGCGAAGGCGUGGGGAGCGAACGGG